GCUUGCCUACGGGGCGCAGCAGUGGGGAAUAUUGGACAAUGGGGGGAACCCUGAUCCAGCGACGCCGCGUGGGUGAAGAAGUAUUUCGGUAUGUAAAGCUCUAUCAGCAGGGGAGAAAGAAAUGACGGUACCUGACUAAGAAGCCCCGGCUAACUACGUGCCAGCAGCCGCGGUAAUACGUAGGGGGCAAGCGUUAUCCGGAUUUACUGGGUGUAAAGGGAGUGUAGACGGAAAGGCAAGUCAGAAGUGAAAACCCAAGGCCCAACCAUGGGACUGCUUUUGAAACUGUUAAA
This 293-nucleotide ribosomal RNA is filed under the name uncultured bacterium. RNAcentral's name for it is "partial 16S ribosomal RNA". It matches the Rfam family "Bacterial small subunit ribosomal RNA", at positions 333 to 640 of the family's 1533-position model. The record is from RNAcentral.